GAUGAACGCUGGCGGCGUGCCUAAUACAUGCAAGUCGAGCGAACAGACGAGGAGCUUGCUCCUUUGACGUUAGCGGCGGACGGGUGAGUAACACGUAGGUAACCUACCUAUAAGACUGGGAUAACUUCGGGAAACCGGAGCUAAUACCGGAUAAUAUUUCGAACCGCAUGGUUCGAUAGUGAAAGAUGGCUUUGCUAUCACUUAUAGAUGGACCUGCGCCGUAUUAGCUAGUUGGUAAGGUAACGGCUUACCAAGGCAACGAUACGUAGCCGACCUGAGAGGGUGAUCGGCCACACUGGAACUGAGACACGGUCUAGACUCCUACGGGAGGCAGCAGUAGGGAAUCUUCCGCAAUGGGCGAAAGCCUGACGGAGCAACGCCGCGUGAGUGAUGAAGGUCUUCGGAUCGUAAAACUCUGUUAUUAGGGAAGAACAAACGUGUAAGUAACUGUGCACGUCUUGACGGUACCUAAUCAGAAAGCCACGGCUAACUACGUG
This 497-nucleotide ribosomal RNA is filed under the name uncultured bacterium. RNAcentral's name for it is "partial 16S ribosomal RNA". It matches the Rfam family "Bacterial small subunit ribosomal RNA", at positions 28 to 507 of the family's 1533-position model. The record is from RNAcentral.